This 1458-nucleotide ribosomal RNA is filed under the name Shigella flexneri. RNAcentral's name for it is "bacterial SSU rRNA". It matches the Rfam family "Bacterial small subunit ribosomal RNA". The record is from RNAcentral. Lineage: Bacteria; Pseudomonadati; Pseudomonadota; Gammaproteobacteria; Enterobacterales; Enterobacteriaceae.
AGAUUGACGCUGGCGGCAGGCCUAACACAUGCAAGUCGAACGGUAACAGGAAACAGCUUGCUGUUUCGCUGACGAGUGGCGGACGGGUGAGUAAUGUCUGGGAAACUGCCUGAUGGAGGGGGAUAACUACUGGAAACGGUAGCUAAUACCGCAUAACGUCGCAAGACCAAAGAGGGGGACCUUCGGGCCUCUUGCCAUCGGAUGUGCCCAGAUGGGAUUAGCUUGUUGGUGGGGUAACGGCUCACCAAGGCGACGAUCCCUAGCUGGUCUGAGAGGAUGACCAGCCACACUGGAACUGAGACACGGUCCAGACUCCUACGGGAGGCAGCAGUGGGGAAUAUUGCACAAUGGGCGCAAGCCUGAUGCAGCCAUGCCGCGUGUAUGAAGAAGGCCUUCGGGUUGUAAAGUACUUUCAGCGGGGAGGAAGGGAGUAAAGUUAAUACCUUUGCUCAUUGACGUUACCCGCAGAAGAAGCACCGGCUAACUCCGUGCCAGCAGCCGCGGUAAUACGGAGGGUGCAAGCGUUAAUCGGAAUUACUGGGCGUAAAGCGCACGCAGGCGGUUUGUUAAGUCAGAUGUGAAAUCCCCGGGCUCAACCUGGGAACUGCAUCUGAUACUGGCAAGCUUGAGUCUCGUAGAGGGGGGUAGAAUUCCAGGUGUAGCGGUGAAAUGCGUAGAGAUCUGGAGGAAUACCGGUGGCGAAGGCGGCCCCCUGGACGAAGACUGACGCUCAGGUGCGAAAGCGUGGGGAGCAAACAGGAUUAGAUACCCUGGUAGUCCACGCCGUAAACGAUGUCGACUUGGAGGUUGUGCCCUUGAGGCGUGGCUUCCGGAGCUAACGCGUUAAGUCGACCGCCUGGGGAGUACGGCCGCAAGGUUAAAACUCAAAUGAAUUGACGGGGGCCCGCACAAGCGGUGGAGCAUGUGGUUUAAUUCGAUGCAACGCGAAGAACCUUACCUGGUCUUGACAUCCACGGAAGUUUUCAGAGAUGAGAAUGUGCCUUCGGGAACCGUGAGACAGGUGCUGCAUGGCUGUCGUCAGCUCGUGUUGUGAAAUGUUGGGUUAAGUCCCGCAACGAGCGCAACCCUUAUCCUUUGUUGCCAGCGGUCCGGCCGGGAACUCAAAGGAGACUGCCAGUGAUAAACUGGAGGAAGGUGGGGAUGACGUCAAGUCAUCAUGGCCCUUACGACCAGGGCUACACACGUGCUACAAUGGCGCAUACAAAGAGAAGCGACCUCGCGAGAGCAAGCGGACCUCAUAAAGUGCGUCGUAGUCCGGAUUGGAGUCUGCAACUCGACUCCAUGAAGUCGGAAUCGCUAGUAAUCGUGGAUCAGAAUGCCACGGUGAAUACGUUCCCGGGCCUUGUACACACCGCCCGUCACACCAUGGGAGUGGGUUGCAAAAGAAGUAGGUAGCUUAACCUUCGGGAGGGCGCUUACCACUUUGUGAUCAUGACU